UUCCCCUGGAAUUGGAUAUCAGUGAGCUUUCCCCUCCGGAAAUCCACGGUAGCGCCUCCUCAUCUCCCUUUCCAACAACCAAACGCAAAGGAAAGAGGACACGGGAUGACAGCUUCCUGGACACCAUCACGGUGAUGGAUGACCGGCGUGCCUUGGCCAGCAAGGAAAAUGAGGACCGGCAUGCCAUGGCCAACAAGGAGAUGCACGACGAACGGCUGCUGCAUGCACACAAGGCCCAGGAAUCGCAGGACCAGCUUCUAAAGGUGAUGGCUGACUCGGCGGCGCGCCAGGUGGAGCAACAAAAUAGCUUUCAGGCUGGGCUUCUGGGAGUGCUAAGCGAGCUGGUUAAAUCCAACAGGCCUCCAAUUAAAAAGAAAAGAAAAACUUGUCGUCGUUAGUCAACUAUAGAAUGACUUGUUUGGAGGCGUGUGGCGCAGUGGCAGUGUGCGUUGGUGUUCGGAUCAGGGGAGCACAGGUUCAAACCCCACUGCAGUCAGCAUGUCGU
Trematomus bernacchii (emerald rockcod) is the source of this 505-nucleotide long non-coding RNA. RefSeq lists it as uncharacterized. The record is from RefSeq and is a predicted model, not a curated record. NCBI's taxonomy places the organism in Eukaryota, Metazoa, Chordata, Actinopteri, Perciformes, Nototheniidae. The transcript is spliced from 3 exons.